RNAcentral lists this ribosomal RNA (253 nucleotides) under uncultured bacterium. RNAcentral describes it as "partial 16S ribosomal RNA". It matches the Rfam family "Bacterial small subunit ribosomal RNA", at positions 524 to 776 of the family's 1533-position model. The record is from RNAcentral.
UACGUAGGCAGCAAGCGUUGUUCGGAAUUACUGGGCGUAAAGCGUGCGCAGGCGGUUUUGUAAGUCUGUCGUGAAAUCCCCGGGCUCAACCUGGGAAUUGCGAUGGAGACUGCAAGGCUAGAAUCUGGCAGAGGGGGGUAGAAUUCCACGUGUAGCAGUGAAAUGCGUAGAGAUGUGGAGGAACACCGAUGGCGAAGGCAGCCCCCUGGGUCAAGAUUGACGCUCAUGCACGAAAGCCAGGGGAGCGAACGGG